Molecule: long non-coding RNA, 556 nt
Organism: Chiloscyllium plagiosum (whitespotted bambooshark)
Lineage: Eukaryota; Metazoa; Chordata; Chondrichthyes; Orectolobiformes; Hemiscylliidae
Source: RefSeq, a predicted model, not a curated record
ACCAUUGAGUGAAUGAUAGACUGAUGAGUCUUCUAAAUGUGCAAUCAGCACUAAUUUUUCAGAUUCCAGUGUAACAUAUUUCCUUGGUUUUGGCAUCAUUGAACCCUUCCAUAAGGGCAUCUCAGAUCUGUGAUCCAAUUCUUCCUGUCUACUAUCCAGAGAAAAUCAAUGGCUUCUUUCCAGAGCCUCAAUCCGACAGGUGUACUGAUGGUCAAACAAAAUGCAUUCAUCUAUUUGUGUUGAAGUGCAACAGAGCUAAUAUGACUGAAUUCUUUACUGAUGACUAUUAUAUCCCAGAGGCCAUAACUUCACAGCAGAUGAGAAACCAUUCCAUUUUCAGGAACAAUGGAGCUGGAUUUGAAUGGCAGAGCUCACUUAAGGUUUCAUCAAAGCUCCUCACCUAAUUGUGUCUCGCACUCUAAUGGCUUCAGGUGAUGUUGAACUGCAUUUGACAGAUAACCCCAUUUCUGACUUAAGAAAUGACAGUACUUUUUGAUGCAAUCUUCUACUUUAUAGAGCCUUUUUUUUAUCAUGUGUAUGUGUCUCCAGGGUGGGA